UUCGGGUGAGGCAAGCGUUUUUCGGAAUCACUGGGCUUAAAGCGCGUGUAGGCGGUUCGGUAAGUACCUUGUGAAAUCCCUUUUCUCAAUGAAGGAACUGCUUGGUAUACUGCCGGACUGGAGGCAGGUAGGGGUCACUGGAACUCUAGGUGGAGCGGUGAAAUGCGUAGAUAUCUAGAGGAACGCCCGUGGCGAAAGCGGGUGACUGGGCCUGUCCUGACGCUGAGACGCGAAAGCGUGGGUAGCAAACGGG
RNAcentral lists this ribosomal RNA (253 nucleotides) under uncultured bacterium. RNAcentral describes it as "partial 16S ribosomal RNA". It matches the Rfam family "Bacterial small subunit ribosomal RNA", at positions 524 to 776 of the family's 1533-position model. The record is from RNAcentral.